Molecule: long non-coding RNA, 301 nt
Organism: Struthio camelus australis
Lineage: Eukaryota; Metazoa; Chordata; Aves; Struthioniformes; Struthionidae
Source: RefSeq, a predicted model, not a curated record
UUGUAUUUUCUGAAGACUAUUUCAGUGCAUCUAUUAUAAAUAUUUAUGUGAUAAGAAAAAUGUUGGAACUCCUUCAAGGAAAUCAGAUGAGAAUGCAUCCACACACUUCAAAAAUAAAUGCAUAAGAUGCUGUCUCAACAAAACCCAUUUGAAUAUCUGGGGAGAGUGGACUGUGACCCUGUGAGAUAUCUUUCUGAAAUUAUGACACUUGCAGAAAUGUACCUAUUCCACAGAAUCUUUUUCAUUCCCAUUGUCUCGGUUUGCCAAAACGUGUAAACAGAAUGCCCUACGUAAGAUGACA